This 97-nucleotide small nuclear RNA is filed under the name Caenorhabditis japonica. RNAcentral describes it as "snRNA CJA48889". The record is from RNAcentral. Lineage: Eukaryota; Metazoa; Nematoda; Chromadorea; Rhabditida; Rhabditidae.
GGUUUUAUUACCCAAGUUUGAGGUAACAUUGAAACUGACCCAAAGAAAUUUGGCGUUGGCUAUAAAUUUUGGAAACGUCUCCUUCAAGGGAGACAAA